CCUACGGGGGGCUGCAGUAGGGAAUAUUGGACAAUGGGCGCAAGCCUGAUCCAGCCAUGCCGCGUGAGUGAAGAAGGCCCUCGGGUUGUAAAGCUCUUUUGUCCGGAAAGAAAAGCAAUCGGUUAAUACCCGGUUGUUCUGACGGUACCGGAAGAAUAAGCACCGGCUAACUUCGUGCCAGCAGCCGCGGUAAUACGAAGGGUGCAAGCGUUACUAGGGAGUACUGGGCGUAAAGCGUACGUCUGAGGUUAAAGCCCUGGGCUCAACCUGGGAAUGGCAUUGGAGACUGGCGGGCUAGAGUGCGGUAGAGGGUAGUGGAAUUCCCGGUGUAGCAGUGAAAUGCGUAGAGAUCGGGAGGAACAUCUGUGGCGAAGGCGACUGCCUGGACCAGCACUGACACUGAGGCACGAAAGCGUGGGGAGCAAACAGGAUUAGAUACCCCGGUAGUC
This 449-nucleotide ribosomal RNA is filed under the name uncultured bacterium. Its description in RNAcentral is "partial 16S ribosomal RNA". It matches the Rfam family "Bacterial small subunit ribosomal RNA", at positions 338 to 795 of the family's 1533-position model. The record is from RNAcentral.